AAGAAACAGAAUAGAAGAGACGAAACAGAGAAAGAAACAGAGAGCAAAACGGGCAGAGAAGGAAGGAAAGAAAGAAAGAAAGAAAGAAAAAGAAAAAGGGAAAUUUAAGGUUUUAAGGUUCCAAGCUCAAUUGGUAAGUCAAAUUAAGUCUUUUUCUUAUAAUUUUUGAGUUUUUGGAAUCCUAGAGAUAAUACUACUUGAUUUAUGUUGAUAUUUUGAAAGUUAGUAGAUUGUUAGACAUGAGUUAUGUUGAAUUAAUUGAUGAACUAGAGGUUAAAAUGAUUGAAUUUUAAGUUAGAAGCUAGUAAAAGAUUGAUUUGUAAAAUAAAAUAUAAGUUUUGAAUUGAUAGGGCUUAAAUUGGAAAAAAAUACCAAUAUUCAUAAGAAUAUGUUAGAGUGUGAUUUUGAUAUUGCCAUAGAAGGGAAAAAUGAUCAGCAUGUCAUAAAACAUAAGAAAAUAGGAUGAAGUUUAAUUUACGAGCCUUGAGGCAAAAGUGCAAAUAUGUGAAAGUUUAGGGGUAAAAAUAUAAUUUUACAAAAGUUUGGGUCAAGGACUGUUUUAAUAAAUUUGAAUAUUAAAUAAGUUAAAUUUACUAUUUUAGAUCAAGAAGUACGAAACUCGAGGUUAGACAAAGGGAAGAAUAAAGUUGAAGACUAAGUUGGUAAAUUUGGCUAUAAUUGGUACCGAGGUAAGUUUACAGUAAAUAAAUGCAAUAUUCUUUUAUUUUACAUUAUUAUUGUCAAUUUCCAGCAUUUAUAUAUUUAUGUUAUGAAAAUAUUUAAAGUCGAAUUUAAGGUGAAGUGACAGAGGAAAAGUGUUAGAAAGCCCCGGUUGAACCCUAGGAAUGUUAGGAUAUUAGGGUUGACAGGACAGAACAGAAAUGAGCCAUGUAAGUCCAUAUUAGAAAUAUGGCUUUGGAGACAGGAUUGAGCCAUGUAAGUCCAUAUUAUAUAUGGCAUUGGAGACAGGAAUAAUUCAUGUAAGUCCAUGUCAAAGACAUGGCAUUGGCAGGGUAUUGAUAGACAAGAAUGACCCUAGUAUCCUUAGUAUUCCGAGUGGUUCAACGGGUCAGAAUACGAGUUAAAUUACAGUGAAUUAACAGCAAAGGAAAAGUAGAUUAUAUUUAUGAAAACGGAAAGGUCAGGUAAGAAAGAAGGUAAGGGAAUAAAGAAGAAGAUAGAAAUUGAGAAGUAAAGAAAUUUAUGAUGUUAGAUGAUAUUAUGCAUAAUUAUCCAUUAUGUUGAAUGUUGUGAUUUAUUUGCUUGUAAGCUUACUAAGCCUAGUGCUUAAUCUCUUUAUUUUCUUCUUCUUAUAGUACUUAUCUAGCCACUCGGGGAUCGAAGGAAACGUCGGAGGCCGAUCACACUAUCAAAGAAAUAACUCGGUAUAAUUAGACGUUUUGUUUUGUGUAUGGCAUGUAUAGGGAUUUAGUUAUUUUGUAUGUUUGUAGUGAUGAUUUUGCUAAUGAGUGAUGUGUAAGUAGUUGAUGAUGUAUGGUUAUUAAAAUGAUUAAGGAUGAAGGUGUUUGUUGUUAUGAAAGAUUAGGUGAUAAAUUAUGCAUGGAAAUCAUGAAAGGAUAAAAUUUUGCAAAGAAACAGAAUUCAGGCAGCACAGUGACGUGAAUUUGAAAAAUCACCCAAGAUAGUAUAAAAUGAAUUAGAGGGUGAAUGAUAUAUGGAAUUAAAGCUUGUUGAGUCUAUUUUCAUGGAAAAAUAACGGUGUAGAAAAAAAAGAAAUUUAUAUUUUAAUAUAUGUGAAUUUUAGUAAGAUAGGGUCAGAACUGUUUUUGGAGUCCCCUGUUCUGAGUUUAGAAAAUAAUUACAAAUUGUACAAAAAUGGUUAUGAGUUGAAAUUUACAUUCUUAGAUUCCUUAAUGAGUCUAUUUUCUAUAGAAACAAGUAAGAACUUCAUAUGAAAAUCCUAUAGUGAGAAAACUUAUUUUUAGUGACUAGAGGUCAGGGCAGUCUGGUGGUGACACAGGGGAGACUUUAACUAAUAAACUGUACUAAUUUGCUGAACCAAAAAUUCUAAAAAUUUUAUGGUGAGUAGAUAUAUGAGUCUAGUUUUAGGGAAAAUUUACGGGAUUAAAUUUCGAGUUCUGUAGCUCAAGUUAUAAUUAAUUUAGUAACUGCUGCGCGAUUAGACAGAUUUGCUGCGAAUAAUAAAAUAAAUUUUCAAACCUAGUUUUUAUGCUCCGAACUGGUAAGAUAAGCUAAGUAAUGCCUCGUGCUCAACUCCGGAAACGGUCUCGGGUAAGGGGUGUUACAUUUAUUGGUAUCAGAGCAGGUUUAGUCGGUUCUCGGAAUAGUUAGUGUGAGAAAAGUCUAGCUAUACAUGCCAUACUUUAUUUUGAUAGUGUGACGACUCCUGACGAUUUUAAAAUGUUUUCUUUUAUAGUUAUGGAUCCUGAACGAGCUAGUACAGAUGAAGUAGAGAGUAAUGCACCUAUUCCCGCAGAAGGGACGGUGCCAUCAGAUGUUAUAUCAGUCAUAUAUUUCCUAAGUGUUCUGUUUCGUCUACUGGGCCUCUGCUAAAAAAAAUGUUACAAGAUAAAAGAUUGUCUUUGAUUCAAUGAUGAAUGAUUAUAAAGGAAAAAUAAGUUACAAAGCUGUGAAUAAAGAAGUAUGUAUUUGUAAUAAAAUAAUUUAAAGUUGUGAAUAAGUAAAUGUUAUUUAGUUCUGUAUGGAGAUUUAAAAUAGUAAUCCUUAUAGAUAAGGAUGAAAAUAUACAUUUAUACACUUAAAAGAGUAACCUUGAUAAAUGAGAAAUGUUUUACUAAUAGACAAAAAUGUCUCCAAUUGAUCUAGUUCCGACAGUGAUGAAAGUGAUAUUUGAGUAUUUGAUAGAGAAAGGGGAGUUGCCUAUAUGAGUAAAGAUUUAUAAGGUAUGAAAUGAAUGUUUGUAAUGAAUAUAUUGACGAUAAAAGUUAUGUUAUGUGUAUAUAUAUAAGUAUAUAUAUAUAAGAGUCAAAUUUUGAGGCUUUACGACCUUCACCCCCUCACCUGAACAAUGGAAUUUACAAUAAUUGUAUUCAUUAAGUUUACAAGUGUGAAAUUGAAGAGUUCAAUAAUUGAAGGAAUAAUAAUGCAGUUAGAAUUGUGGAUGGGAUAGCAAGUAAAGAGAGUUCUAGAAAGGAUAUUAGAUUUUUUUUAAAUGAUUAUUGGGAUUUGCAAUGUCGCUAUUAAGGAAGAAGCUAUUCACGAGUAACCGACUUAUUCAGGUAUAAAUUUUAAAGAGCAGGUUAAUCGGAAUUUCUUCUGAAUUGAUUUCUUUAAUGAUUGAGAUAAUGUGAGAUUAUUGAUGACUUUAGUAAUCAGUGGGAUUGUGUUGAAAAUUGCAAACAUAUCUGAAUGCAGUUGUUAUAGUCGAGUAUUUUACAAUGAUCUCUUCUGGGUAUUCUAUAUGGGUAUUCUAUAUGCUCUUUUAUCCUCAGAGGUAUAUGCAAUUAUUUAUUUUCAGAUAUGAUUCUUAUCAUAUAGCAAGGUUGGCUAAUCGUAUUGUUAGACGAAAUUAUUAUUAGUCUGGUUGAUUCAUGAUCGGGAUUCCUCUAUCUUUCCUUGAUUUUCUAAUCUAUUAUGUUCGAUGGAAGAUUUGAUGAUAAGACUCAUAUGAAGCUAUUUUCUAUUUCUACUGGUUGAAGCUCCGAAUUAUAUAUAUGGAAUUUAUAUUGUCUUUAUCACAACUAUUCCUAGUACGUACAAGUGAUAUUCUUCUUUUGGAUUUUCUCUGGGAUAUCAUCGAUCUCUUUAUCAUUCAAUGUGGUUUUUCUUCUCGGAAAUUUAGUAUAGCUUCACAUCUUGGAUUUUAUAAUCUCAGUUUUCUUAUUAUUCUUAUGGUCUAAUCUUAUCUAUUAACCAUGGUUUAUCCGUACAAGAUAUUCAUUGGCCGGAGGUAAUUAUAUUUAUUACUGUUAUAAAUCUUGGUUUGAUCAUGGGAACUUGGUGAUAUGGAUCUCAGAUUUUAGAAGUUGUAUUACUGCACUGGUUGUUAUUGGGACUACUUCGGUUUUCUUCAUCUAUUUUGGAGUGCACUAUUGAUGUUGAGGUAUUGUUCUAUCUAUAUAGUUGGAACGUCGGUCCUAGUAUAGCUCUAUAGUUUUUAAUCUAUUUGAUGGUUGUGGCUUCGGUAUAGUUCAAAGCUUCGAUGUUAAUGAUUGAAAUAGUUUUAUUAUAUAUAAUUCCUUUCUAGUUUUCGUGAAAGGGUUGACAUCGGCAAAAGUAUAGAUGGAGGAAGAUUGAGCUCAAACUUGUAUUUUGGUUUUCACUUCUCAGAUAAUUCUGAAAUUAUGUCAACAAGUCAAUAAUGGAAUGUCAAAAUUCGUUUGAGUUAAAUGCCAUUAGUGGAAAUUUUCGAUUGGUGUUCCGAGAGGAUUAUGAUAUAUGGUAUAUCUGGAUUGUUUUGACAACAAGAAGAUUGGAUUAUUCUGAAAUGUUAUUAUCUGAUAGAUAAAACCGACUCAGUUGUUUUAAUCAGAGUGGGUUAUUCAUUGAAAAGUUAAUUGAGUUAUAAUCAGUGAUGGAAUCAGUACAUCUUGGGUCUCCACAAUGGGUUUAAAUUAUCUGUUUUCUUAUCGCUGGAUGGGUUUCCAAGAUCUUCGUUCAAAGGUAUUAAAUAAGAUAAUUCGGGUUUCUCAGUUAUGUUUCGACAGACAAUUACUGGACAUUUCUUGGUAGUCAUACUACUAGUGAAAAAGUGAUGGCAAGAAAACAUCAGAGCUGCUCAGUUAAGUUCAGGCAUAGUAUCAAUUUCUAAAAUGAGUUUUGGUAUGAGUUCGGAAGUGAUAUGAGUUAUGAUUAAUUUUUAUGGACUUCGAUUGAAAGGGGUGAAGAAAGAUUUGACUUAAUAGCUUGUAUCAGGUGAGAAAUUUCGAGGACGAAAUUUUUUUUAAGGGGGGGAGAGUUGUAACAGCCCAAUUUUCAGUAGUGUCAGAACAGUGAUUUGAGAUCACUAAAUUCGAUGAAGAAGUUAGAAAUAUUUUUGAAUUAGUGAAUUUUGUGAUUUAAAAGAAAUUAUUAGGUAAAUUGGGUCAAAAACGAGGUAUCGAGACCUCGAUAUCAUAAACUGAGUCGUAAAUAUUUUUAUAAAUAUUUACAGAGUGUCAAUAGGAUAAUAUUAAAGUUUCGUUUCAGUAGUGUCAGAACAGUGAUUUGAGAUCACUAAAUUCGAUGAAGAAGUUAGAAAUAUUUUUGAAUUAGUGAAUUUUGUGGUUUAAAAGAAAUUAUUAGGUAAAUUGGGUCAAAAACGAGGUAUCGAGACCUCGAUAUCAUAAACUGAGCCGUAAAUAUUUUUAUAAAUAUUUACAGAGUGUCAAUAGGAUAAUAUUAAAGUUUCGUUAAGAAAUUUUAACGUUUCGAUAGUUAAUUAUGAAAAAGGAUUAAAUUGCAAUAGGGAUAAAAGUUUAAUUAUAGAUUAAAGAAAAGUUAAAAGGACCAAAUAGGCAAUUAUGCCUUUUUCCAAAGUUGAGGCGGCAUAAGUAUAAAAAUCUGAGAUUUUUAUGUGUUAAAAAAAUAUUAUAUUAUAGUAAUGAUUAUGUUUUUAUAUUAUAUUAUUAUUAAUAUAUUAUAUUAUAUUAUAUAUAUACAUAAAACAAAAGAAAGAAUAGAAAAAAAAGAAAGAAAAGAAACAGAAUAGAAGAGACGAAACAGAGAAAGAAACAGAGAGCAAAACGGGCAGAGAAGGAAGGAAAGAAAGAAAGAAAGAAAGAAAAAGAAAAAGGGAAAUUUAAGGUUUUAAGGUUCCAAGCUCAAUUGGUAAGUCAAAUUAAGUCUUUUUCUUAUAAUUUUUGAGUUUUUGGAAUCCUAGAGAUAAUACUACUUGAUUUAUGUUGAUAUUUUGAAAGUUAGUAGAUUGUUAGACAUGAGUUAUGUUGAAUUAAUUGAUGAACUAGAGGUUAAAAUGAUUGAAUUUUAAGUUAGAAGCUAGUAAAAGAUUGAUUUGUAAAAUAAAAUAUAAGUUUUGAAUUGAUAGGGCUUAAAUUGGAAAAAAAUACCAAUAUUCAUAAGAAUAUGUUAGAGUGUGAUUUUGAUAUUGCCAUAGAAGGGAAAAAUGAUCAGCAUGUCAUAAAACAUAAGAAAAUAGGAUGAAGUUUAAUUUACGAGCCUUGAGGCAAAAGUGCAAAUAUGUGAAAGUUUAGGGGUAAAAAUAUAAUUUUGCAAAAGUUUGGGUCAAGGACUGUUUUAAUAAAUUUGAAUAUUAAAUAAGUUAAAUUUACUAUUUUAGAUCAAGAAGUACGAAACUCGAGGUUAGACAAAGGGAAGAAUAAAGUUGAAGACUAAGUUGGUAAAUUUGGCUAUAAUUGGUACCGAGGUAAGUUUACAGUAAAUAAAUGCAAUAUUCUUUUAUUUUACAUUAUUAUUGUCAAUUUCCAGCAUUUAUAUAUUUAUGUUAUGAAAAUAUUUAAAGUCGAAUUUAAGGUGAAGUGACAGAGGAAAAGUGUUAGAAAGCCCCGGUUGAACCCUAGGAAUGUUAGGAUAUUAGGGUUGACAGGACAGAACAGAAAUGAGCCAUGUAAGUCCAUAUUAGAAAUAUGGCUUUGGAGACAGGAUUGAGCCAUGUAAGUCCAUAUUAUAUAUGGCAUUGGAGACAGGAAUAAUUCAUGUAAGUCCAUGUCAAAGACAUGGCAUUGGCAGGGUAUUGAUAGACAAGAAUGACCCUAGUAUCCUUAGUAUUCCGAGUGGUUCAACGGGUCAGAAUACGAGUUAAAUUACAGUGAAUUAACAGCAAAGGAAAAGUAGAUUAUAUUUAUGAAAACGGAAAGGUCAGGUAAGAAAGAAGGUAAGGGAAUAAAGAAGAAGAUAGAAAUUGAGAAGUAAAGAAAUUUAUGAUGUUAGAUGAUAUUAUGCAUAAUUAUCCAUUAUGUUGAAUGUUGUGAUUUAUUUGCUUGUAAGCUUACUAAGCCUAGUGCUUAAUCUCUUUAUUUUCUUCUUCUUAUAGUACUUAUCUAGCCACUCGGGGAUCGAAGGAAACGUCGGAGGCCGAUCACACUAUCAAAGAAAUAACUCGGUAUAAUUAGACGUUUUGUUUUGUGUAUGGCAUGUAUAGGGAUUUAGUUAUUUUGUAUGUUUGUAGUGAUGAUUUUGCUAAUGAGUGAUGUGUAAGUAGUUGAUGAUGUAUGGUUAUUAAAAUGAUUAAGGAUGAAGGUGUUUGUUGUUAUGAAAGAUUAGGUGAUAAAUUAUGCAUGGAAAUCAUGAAAGGAUAAAAUUUUGCAAAGAAACAGAAUUCAGGCAGCACAGUGACGUGAAUUUGAAAAAUUACCCAAGAUAGUAUAAAAUGAAUUAGAGGGUGAAUGAUAUAUGGAAUUAAAGCUUGUUGAGUCUAUUUUCAUGGAAAAAUAACGGUGUAGAAAAAAAAGAAAUUUAUAUUUUAAGAUAUGUGAAUUUUAGUAAGAUAGGGUCAGAACUGUUUUUGGAGUCCCCUGUUCUGAGUUUAGAAAAUAAUUACAAAUUGUACAAAAAUGGUUAUGAGUUGAAAUUUACAUGCUUAGAUUCCUUAAUGAGUCUAUUUUCUAUAGAAACAAGUAAGAACUUCAUAUGAAAAUCCUAUAGUGAGAAAACUUAUUUUUAGUGACUAGAGGUCAGGGCAGUCUGGUGGUGACACAGGGGAGACUUUAACUAAUAAACUGUACUAAUUUGCUGAACCAAAAAUUCUAAAAAUUUUAUGGUGAGUAGAUAUAUGAGUCUAGUUUCAGGGAAAAUUUACGGGAUUAAAUUUCGAGUUCUGUAGCUCAAGUUAUAAUUAAUUUAGUAACUGCUGCGCGAUUAGACAGAUUUGCUGCGAAUAAUAAAAUAAAUUUUCAAACCUAGUUUUUAUGCUCCGAACUGGUAAGAUAAGCUAAGUAAUGCCUCGUGCUCAACUCCGGAAACGGUCUCGGGUAAGGGGUGUUACAUACUUCAUAUAAUGAGGUGUAGUAGUAGUGUCAGUUGCUGGAGAGGUACGUUUCAGGUUGCAUAACAGACCUUGAACCGGGCCCUGCGUACUACAAUGACUGCUUGCUCCGUGGAUGCCAAAUGGUC
RNAcentral lists this long non-coding RNA (8013 nucleotides) under Gossypium barbadense (sea-island cotton). RNAcentral's name for it is "long non-coding RNA (GBAR_LNC021089)". Lineage: Eukaryota; Viridiplantae; Streptophyta; Magnoliopsida; Malvales; Malvaceae. The record is from RNAcentral.